CCUAUUUUGAGGUUCAGAAAAAUAAAAAUAUCCCAUGUGGCUCUUUGUUUCCCUGUAGGCUCUGCAGACCUCCUGCCAUCCUGGUCUGGAAGAAGAUGGCAGGAGGAAGAAAUGCCAAGGAAAACAUGAAGGUAAUGUCUGUUUCCAAGGAUAUGUUCAGAGUAAAUAGGAAACUCCCUAGAAAUCAGUUAUACUUGCUUGCCUUCUCUUCUUUGCCAUUCAGAUGAUAUAAUAGUUGAAGACCUGGAGGGAGAGCAGGGGCUUUGAAGUUCUCAUCAUCUGUGCAGCAGACCGAGAAGACAAACAGGUCACCUAGUCACAGUCAUCCCUGCUAUGGGCACAGGACUUUGGUUAUAACAUCAGUAUGGAACAGUGGGAAAGGUUAUGGCAGCAAGAUAUCAAAUUUACAUCAUGUUAUAAUUUGAGGGAAAAUACCAUGAAGAUGCUCUACCGAUGGCAUCAUACCCCAGCUAAACUCACCAAUAUGUAUAAAGGAAGCUCACCAAUAUGUUGGCGUUGCAAAAAGGAGAUAGGAUCAUAUUACCAUAUGUGGUGGACUUGUAUGGUGAUAAGCGAGUUUUGGAAUAACAUAUAUGAUGAAUUAAAAAAACUAUUUAAACUUAAAGAAAAGACCGGAGAUUUUCCUUCUAGGAAUAUUACCAACAGAAAUAAAGCAAAACACAAGACCACUGUUUAUGUACUCAAUUACAGCUGCAAGAAUACUCGUAGCCAGAAGUUGGAAAUGUGAAACAAUACCAACAAUAAUAGACUGGCAAACACUCAUGGUAGAGUAUUUUCACUUAGCAAAGCUGACUGGAAAAGUUAGGGGAGCCCUAAAUCAAAAAAUAUAGAGAGAAUGGAUAUUAUUCAAGGAGUAUAUAAGAUCACACUGUAAAAAUGAAAUUAUCCUGGCAGAAUUGAAUGAUACUUGUGUAUAAUAAAUAAUUG
Non-coding RNA from Podarcis lilfordi (Lilford's wall lizard), 948 nucleotides. Lineage: Eukaryota; Metazoa; Chordata; Lepidosauria; Squamata; Lacertidae. The record is from the annotation of a GenBank genome assembly.